Molecule: ribosomal RNA, 1049 nt
Filed under: Biston quercii
Lineage: Eukaryota; Metazoa; Arthropoda; Insecta; Lepidoptera; Geometridae
Description: partial 16S ribosomal RNA
Source: RNAcentral
AUUAAUAAUUAUUAUAUUUAAUAAAAAUAAUUUUAAUUUAAUAAAUAUUUUAAUGGGGGUUAAAGUAUUAUUUAAAGAAAAAAUUUUUAAAUUUAUAGUUAAUUAGUAUUGUGAAAGAAUUUUGAAAUAUUAUGAAAAUUAAAAUUUUAGUAAAGUAAUUUUUAUUUAUUGUAUCUUGUGUAUCAGAGUUUAUUAAAAAUUUUUAAUUUAUAAAUUAAUUUCUCGAAUUUAAAAGAGUUAAAUAAUUAUUAAAGUUAUUGUAGCAAAAUUAUUUUAAAUAAUUAUUUAGAAAUGAAAUGUUAAUCGUUUUUAAAUAUAUCUAGUUUUUAUAGAAAAAAAUUUAAUUUUAAAUUUUUAUAUUAUUUAAUUAAUUUAUUAAUUAAAUAAUUAUAAAAAUUUUAUAAUUUAAGGGAUAAGCUUUAAAUUAGAUUUUUAUAAUACUAAAUUUUUAUUUUGAAAAUUUUAUAAUUUAUAUUGUUAAUAAAUUUUAUUUUAUUAUAAAUAAUUUCAUUUUUUUUAAAAUUUAAAUUUUAUUUAAUUUUUUAUAUAAAAUUUAUUUAUAAUUAUAUAAAUUUAAUUAUAAUGAUAAAAUUAGUAUAUUAUUUAAUAUAAAAUUAAAAUUAAUUUUUAAUUAAUAAUUAAAUUAAUUAAAAGGAAUUCGGCAAAUAUUUAUUUUCACUUGUUUAUCAAAAACAUGUCUUUUUGUUUUUAAUUUAAAGUCUAAUCUGCCCACUGAUUUAAAAAAAUUGAAGGGCUGCAGUAUAUUGACUGUACAAAGGUAGCAUAAUCCUUAGUCUCUUAAUUGGUGACUUGUAUGAAAGAUUGGAUGAAAAAUAUACUGUCUCUUAAUUAAUAUGUAGAAUUUAAUUUUUUAUUUAAAAAGUUAAAAUAAUUUAAAAAGACGAGAAGACCCUAUAGAGUUUAAUAAGUUUUUUUGUAAGAGUUUUAUUUAUAAUUAUUAAUAAUUUUAUAAAUUUUUUUAUUUUAUUGGGGUGAUAAAAAAAUAAAUUUAACUUUUUUUAAAUAAUUUACAUAAAUAAAUGAUUAAU